GGAUAAACCAGUCAGAGCUCCUGCUAUCAUCCAGCAAGUGAAGUCAGGUUGAUUGUGUGUGCAGUGUGAUCACUGUAAUAUAGCGUUGAGAGAAGAAACUUUCGUUCAGGCUGUACAGUUCUAUCACUGACUAGCUAAACACCUCGUGGUCUAAUAUGGCUCCCAUCUCAUCUCAAAUGGCCUUAUUUAGUGUUAUAUGUUUUUUCUUAGCAUUUGUGCAAUUUUCUAGUGGAUGUUCACCAAUUCCUGGGAAAAAACCGGCUGCUUUGGAAGAACGUUUUUUUCAUUCGGAAUAUGUUGUGUAUGGAAAAAUUACCGCGCAUUACCCCGAACCGAAGCCGAUGUACGAUUCGGUUUAUGUAGCAGAAAUGAUGGUAUAUUGCACAUUUAAAGGGAACGUGUUACCACCACGUAUUAAUAUCAGUGAUGCCGGUUUUGUUCCAGGGCUGUGCCAUUCCACUGAACUUACUACUGGACAGGAUUUUGUCGUCUUUCUAAGUACGGAACUUACUCCUAUCUAUAAGGAAGACGUACCUAGCGAACAGUAUUUAGAAGAAAUUUCAAUUUUAUGUGAACAUGAUAUUAACUAUCCACAAGGUUUAGACGAAUCAACAGCUCCUAUGAUGUGUCCUGCUAACUACCCAGAAUACACAGAUUGCAUCCGAUAUGUCGAACCAGAAGAAGAAAGUGAACCUGAAGUGAAACCAAUAGAUAAGAAUACACCAAUAGUUGAAGCAACGAAACCGGGUGAAGUGUCUGGAGACGGUGGAAAGGAGAUAAAUGAUGGCGGUAAUGGCGGAAGUGACGUAAUUAAUGUAUCUUGUAUGUUAACGUAUAUUUGUGUAUUUGUGUCGCUAUGGUUAUAGGUUAGUUGAUAAUAUAGUAUUUUACAAUUCGCAUAAUGAAUGUUGAACGUGAUCUAUUAAACAUGCAUUCCUCAUUAAUUUAAAAAAUAUUCUUUCAUUACCCAGUUAACAAAUCUACGUUUUCGCUACGAAUUGUAAUGGCGGUAAAUAAAAUUGUCUAGCCGAACUUCAGGAGAGGAAAUCGCUAUAUCUUUAUAUUAUAGCAAUGCUAUAUCAAGUAAGAAUACAUUAGCCAUUUUUGUUAAAAUUAUCAACGACUUUUAGAUUUAGCUGUAUGAUAAUGGCAUACGGUACAAAAUGUCAAAAUAUUUCAUUACUAUUUAACAUUUAUGCCCGAUAUUUCGAUCCGCACAACCAAUACUAAGACCGGUUGUAUUAAUGUACCAAUACUCAACCAGUUGGUCGAGAAUGGAGCUUAGAUUGAUAUGAGGUUUGUCGUAACUAAGUGACUAACACUUUCAAACCAUAUUGGAAUUUAUAUAGUUACUUGUUCUACGUAACCACAAUCAAUCAUUUGAUAUGGGUGCCAACUUAUACGAGAUUAGUAAGGGGGAUAACCACAUUUAUUACAAGUUUGUCUUUGUUUUUAAGAUAUUCCCCAGUUACUCUUGAUGCAGCCUUAAAGAAUAUAUUGAUUUAAAUAUUGAAAUGGUUAUAUCAGUUCAAGGGAGACAACUGCAAAUAAAUCGUUAAGAGAUUUUUGUUUUCGCGAAAGUACACUACUGAGUGUACAGAAAUUUUAUUUGCCUUGAUCAUUGAUUAAGACUGUGGAUCAAAUUAUGUUUCAUCUACGAUUAUGUCAUUGAACAUACGUAAAUUCAGUGUAUUUUAUUGUAGAAUAUUGGACUAAAAUAUGGAUACUUGGGUGAUUACAAGAAACUAUAACUUAAUUAUGGAAGCUUAAUUAUAACUUUUACAUUUUUUUUCCAUGAAAACCAAAAGGUUUAAAUUUUGACCUUUUGUCUUCAGAAACAUGAAUCAAAUGAGACAUAUGAUAGGAAUGAGACAUAUGAUAGGGAUGAGUCAAAUUCAGACUAUAUUUCGUUUCGCUUUUGUGGUUAAAGUCAUCGUUUAAAAUUCAAGAAACUGGAACGAAAUAGGUUCUAAAUUUAUCAUUGUGAAAUGUGCUUACUUCUAUGUCCGAUUUUCUCGCUGGAAUUUUCUGAUUAAUCAGUGUUUAAAAUCAUGUUUGCACUCAACUCGCUUUAUUGUGCAGGUACAAUUUUAAAUAUCAAUUGUGCUAUGAACUUCCAACAAGAAAUUGUUUAAAGCGGGGUUCGAAUCGUGCGUUUUCUGUAAUUACGAGGUUCCAAAUUAAAAAUAACGCCCCAAAUCACAAAGUCAUAUUUCCUACUUCACCAGUAAAACAUAUGACAUGUCACGUGAUUCGAGUGGUAUUUUCGUGAAGGGAAUUUGUAAUUACGGUACAUACGACAUGAUUCGAACCCAGCAAAGAUUGGCUGAUGUAAAUCUAAUGUUAAUUGUGUUUUUGUAUAAUGUGUAAUGUUUAUUAUAACUGUGUGUUGUCUUUUUGUUUGGCCAGAUUAUUAUUUAUUUUUGAGUACUAUAUUUGGUACAUUAUAUGUUAUGUAUAUACGGUUCUUUUAGUGUGUAUAAAGUAAAUAAUUAUAGCUUUUUAGUAGCAAGCUUUUUUAUUGUUGAACUGUAGGCUUCUUAGAUACUGAGUGGCGCAGCACCCAAAGUUGACGAUAAUAGUUGUCACGCCUAGCGGGUUAAAUAUUACAUGGACGUAGGAUCCGGUUUAUUGAGAGAGAUUUAACAUACGGAUGUAGUUAAAUCAAUAUUUAGCUCUAUGAUCAUAACCUGCUCUAGCUAAAUUAAGCACACCCUGCCUAUUGCAUGAACUACCGUACUCACCAUUCGAUAAUUCUGACUAUCCGGUAAACAGGCAGAUAAUACCGAUUCCAAGGCGCCUAUAAAUCGUCAUAACGUUUCUGCACAAUAUAGUUAAAUGUAGGCAGGGUAAAUCGUCAACCCGAAGGGCACAGGAUAUUGUUUGAAUGCCUCUUGCGAGAUGUGAAAUUAUACUUUAGUUCUUCAUAAUAAACAACGUUAAAUACAUAAGUGCGUUAAAUCUCUCCCGAUUGUAAAAGUAUUAUAUAUUUAUUCGCUUUAAUUCGUGUAUAUCAUCAACCAUGUUUCUGUUGGUUUACCUAUUCUUUUUUAUAUUAUAAUAUCAUUAAUUAAAAUAUAUACAAAUACAUGUGUAUCUUAUAACAUCAUGAAUAUACAAUUUUCUAUAGUUCAUAGUAUUAUCAUAUCUCUUAGCAAUAACUGCAAUAUUUUUGUUGAUAAUUAAUUGCCAUUUUUUAAAAUGUUUUAACAACAUUAAUGAUUAAUUGACACUGUCUAGUUCGCUCUACAUCAUUUAUCAUUUAAAAACUCUCAAAUUUCAUGUUUAAGAUUGUUUCUAUCAAAUUUUUUCAAUCAAAUUUUGUUUUUGGUGCUAGCAAUAAGCGACCGAAUUUUGAUUAACAUUUAGAUUGAUCACCACCUCUUCGGCAUUUUGCCAUUUGAAUAAUACUGGCAAUAAUUUCAUGUCUUUCAGAUAAUACCUUUGAUAUUAUUAUAGACAAUUAGAUUUCUUUAAUGUAAUUAAUUCAACAAUGUAGUAAUGUGUGUGUUGCUCUAAUUUAUACCACUCUGUUAAGUAUACGCACUCUUACUGUCAAAUAUUUCGCUUGUCGUAUGCCAAGUACUUAUAUAUAAACGCAUAUUUGUGAAUAAAUUCAUGGAUUUCUAAA
Molecule: long non-coding RNA, 3631 nt
Organism: Patella vulgata (common limpet)
Lineage: Eukaryota; Metazoa; Mollusca; Gastropoda; Patellidae
Exons: 4
Source: RefSeq, a predicted model, not a curated record